GGCGGUUGGAUUCAAACACUAAACAUCAACGAAUAGGGGUUUAUAACGCAAGGAGGUGAAACAUAAAAGCAAAUAGUUUUUAAGUAUAUAUUCAAGUCAGGUGAGCUGGGUAUCUUGCUUAAGAAGCAUCCAGAAGAAAUAAAGUGAAUUUUGAGAAUCUGGGAUUAAGAAUAAAAUCAUAGCAUCUUUGGGAAAAGUCAUUUAAUUCAGCGACCCACUCGCUAUCUGAAUACCGUUGCCUGAAGUAACCCAUAAAAAUAUGAGGCGGCGGAGGAGUGUGCAGAAAAAUUUUCGAUACCUAUCCCGCAGCCCCAGAGAUGGCCUCGUGUGUUAUACAAAAUGUUGGACAUAAUUACUACACCAUCUUGCAAACGGGCCUUGACAGACCUAAGGCAAUCUCCAAAGCUGAAUAAACACUAGGGGGCUCCCUGGAGGGCAGAAGUUUGCAGGAAAGAAAUUGCAAAAUGACAUGUCUAGAACAUGCAGUGAUGGCCUCAGCCUUCAUGCUCCCAGGCCAGGAACCAGUGGAACUAUCCCAGGCACCAUAGAGGAUCCAUCGGGAGUCCACUGGGCUCCAGUGGAGAUCUAAGCACCCGCUCACCAUCACGGAGAAGCCUGCCAUCAAGAGGUGCCUAGAGAUACUUCAAUACAACAUUUCAGUCUUUGAAGGUGGCCAGGUGCCUUCAGGAGCACACUUGGUGAGACAGACACAAGUGGGCAAAGCCACCUGUGGCUCACUUAGAAGAAGCCCGCCAUUGCCUCAAGAGGGAACAAGACAACAAGUGCAUCUGUAUCUCUCCCUGUCACAGAUUGGAGUGUCUGACAUGCAUAUCAGUGUCAAACCAAGUUCAAGGCCCAUGAGGUGGCCUGCGAGAAUCCCCACAUGGCCAUCCCACACUCUGAGAGAGCCCCUCAAGGAUGCCCCUUCUACAAAGCAGUUCAUGGGCAGCAGCAGCCCAGACCACCUCCGGGAGCCGACCCAGCCUUGUAAUCUCAACCACCACCACUGGCUGACCCAGGGAAAGAAAAAAGGCAAGGAGCAAGAAGGUGGGUGAGCAGAAGGAAACUCCCCAGGAGCAGCAGUAGGCAGAGAACCAGAGGUGGAGAUAGAAACAGAGGAUCAUUUUAAGUUGAAAAUAGAAGCACUAGAGCUGUCCAGGGGCCUCAGUCCUGAAAGCCCAGGUGGACAAGACAACUGAGAUGGACAUAAGCCAGGAUGUCCAAGGGACUGGGACAGAACUCUGCCCAGGACUGCCAUCAACGGUUUACAGAAUCAACUUUCGUCCCCUUUUCACAAAUUGGAACAGUGUGUACCAUCUACAGUCUUCUGGCAUCUCCCCCUGGCUCCAUAGUCCCUGAAAAACUGCCAACAGUCUUCUCGUAUAUAAAUUCUAUUGAUAGCCCAGCCAGAAUUUGUCCAAGCUCGGAGACACAAGCUCAUUCAAAGCCUAGUGUUCUCUUACCAUCUUCCUCCUGGUAUUUGUAUGACCAACACGCAGCUCCACUGAAGUGGGAGCAGGGAAGCUGGU
Molecule: long non-coding RNA, 1529 nt
Organism: Myotis brandtii (Brandt's bat)
Lineage: Eukaryota; Metazoa; Chordata; Mammalia; Chiroptera; Vespertilionidae
Exons: 4
Source: RefSeq, a predicted model, not a curated record